UUCGGGUUGUAAAGUACUUUCAGCAGUGAGGAAGGUGGAUAUGUUAAUAGUCAUAUUCAUUUGACGUUAGCUGCAGAAGAAGCACCGGCUAACUCCGUGCCAGCAGCCGCGGUAAUACGGAGGGUGCGAGCGUUAAUCGGAAUUACUGGGCGUAAAGCGCAUGCAGGUGGUUUGUUAAGUCAGAAUGUGAAAGCCCGGGGCUCAACCUCGGAAUUGCAUUUGAAACUGGCAAACUAGAGUACUGGUAGAGGGGGGUAGAAUUUCAGGUGUAGCGGUGAAAUGCGUAGAGAUCUGAAGGAAUACCGGUGGCGAAGGCGGCCCCCUGGACAGAUACUGACACUCAGAUGCGAAAAGCGUGGGGAGCAAACAGGAUUAGAUACCCUGGUAG
Molecule: ribosomal RNA, 388 nt
Filed under: uncultured bacterium
Lineage: Bacteria
Description: bacterial SSU rRNA
Rfam family: Bacterial small subunit ribosomal RNA
Source: RNAcentral